UUGGAGGGCAAGUCUGGUGCCAGCAGCCGCGGUAAUUCCAGCUCCAAUAGCGUAUAUUAAAGUUGUUGCAGUUAAAAAGCUCGUAGUUGAAUUUCGGGAUUAGUACGUUGGUCGUGCCUUAGGUACGUACUGGUGUUACUGGUUCCUACCUUCUGACGAACCAUCAUGUCAUUAAUUUGGUGUGGCGGGGAAUCAGGACUGUUACUUUGAAAAAAUUAGAGUGUUUAAAGCAGGCUCGCGCUUGAAUACAUUAGCAUGGAAUAAUGAAAUAGGACGUUGACCCUAUUUUGUUGGUUUCUAGGAUUGACGUAAUGAUUAAUAGGGAUAGUUGGGGGCAUUAGUAUUCAAUUGUCAGAGGUGAAAUUCUUGGAUUUAUUGAAGACUAACUACUGCGAAAGCAUUUGCCAAGGAUGUUUUCAUUAAUCAAGAACGAAAGUUAGGGGAUCGAAGACGAUCAGAUACCGUCGUAGUCUUAACCAUAAACUAUGCCGACUAGGGAUCGGAUGAUGUUAAUUUUUUAAUGACUCAUUCGGCGCCUUACGGGAAAC
RNAcentral lists this ribosomal RNA (548 nucleotides) under uncultured Glomeromycotina. Its description in RNAcentral is "SSU rRNA". It matches the Rfam family "Eukaryotic small subunit ribosomal RNA", at positions 548 to 1098 of the family's 1831-position model. Lineage: Eukaryota; Fungi; Glomeromycota. The record is from RNAcentral.